Bufo bufo (common toad) is the source of this 206-nucleotide long non-coding RNA. RefSeq lists it as uncharacterized. The transcript is spliced from 3 exons. Lineage: Eukaryota; Metazoa; Chordata; Amphibia; Anura; Bufonidae. The record is from RefSeq and is a predicted model, not a curated record.
ACGCUUUUUCCUAUAUUGUGCAAACACGACCACCACUGAUGGAUUGCAGGGUGGUCUGUAACCAUGGAAACGAGCAGUGUAUAAUGUGAUGGGAAAAUAAUCCAGCCAGGAAAGGAAGUAAUUUGGAGAAUAACAAUACAUUAGUAAGUGGCUUGUGUUAACUUUUUCUACAUGAUGAAUGUAAUUUGCUGAAAGGACACAACCCC